Molecule: unclassified non-coding RNA, 765 nt
Filed under: Hevea brasiliensis (rubber tree)
Lineage: Eukaryota; Viridiplantae; Streptophyta; Magnoliopsida; Malpighiales; Euphorbiaceae
Source: RNAcentral
AAAAAAAAUUAAAAAAAAAAGAGAUUUAAUUGAAUAAUUGAACCAUCUAGGUCAAUCGGGUCAUACCAGUUUAUCGAUUCAAACGUCGGGUUGACUUGGUCACGUUGAGUUGCUUUCUUGUCUAAUUCAAUUAUAAACACAGACCAGUUUGAGGGCUGGUUUACCAACUCAAUGGUUCAACCGGCCGGUUCAGUCUGAAUUUAGUAACUAUGAUAUAAAUGACUAAUAUUUGUACUGAACUGAGUGCUGUUAUCAAUCUGAAAUGAAGGGUGGAUGGAUCAUGGGGUGCUCUUCUGAUAGAGAAACGUUUCUUUUAAUCUUUUUGUGAACUGAAGAAAGUUACAAUUGUCUUCUAAUGAUUGGCUAUUAAACCACUUCUGCGAUACACUCUCGUUCCAGCUCCCCACUCUUGUUUUACUGAGAUUUUUCAGUUACUUCCCAACAGCCAUAGGUGAUUAGGACUUUAGAGUUCAGACCACUCCUUUUCCACAAGAGACUAAUGGCUACGGCUUUUGAGGCCAAAGUUUCCUUCUUUUUUUUUUUAUAAUCUUUUUCGGUAAAUAACUUAAACCGGAUCUUGUAAGUAGAGAAAUUGAGAGAUGCGGGCUGGAGGCGAAGUGAUAACCAACUCUUAACUAAUUUGUUAUUAAAGUUUUGCUGUUAUUGUUACUGUUAUCUUAUAACUGGUCUUUAUUAGUGGUGAAGUGGCACUCAGUACCAUUUUUCUGUAUAUUGUUGUUAAAACCUGACAGGAGAACCGGCUUC